RNAcentral lists this ribosomal RNA (253 nucleotides) under uncultured bacterium. Its description in RNAcentral is "partial 16S ribosomal RNA". It matches the Rfam family "Bacterial small subunit ribosomal RNA", at positions 524 to 776 of the family's 1533-position model. The record is from RNAcentral.
UACGUAGGGUGCAAGCGUUGUCCGGAAUUAUUGGGCGUAAAGAGCUUGUAGGCGGUUUGUCGCGUCUGCUGUGAAAUUUCGGGGCUCAACCCCGAACUUGCAGUGGGUACGGGCAGACUAGAGUGUGGUAGGGGAGACUGGAAUUCCUGGUGUAGCGGUGAAAUGCGCAGAUAUCAGGAGGAACACCGAUGGCGAAGGCAGGUCUCUGGGCCAUAACUGACGCUGAGAAGCGAAAGCAUGGGGAGCGGACAGG